This 337-nucleotide unclassified non-coding RNA is filed under the name soil metagenome. Its description in RNAcentral is "partial contains 5.8S ribosomal RNA, internal transcribed spacer 2, and large subunit ribosomal RNA". The stretch from base 1 to 120 matches the Rfam family "5.8S ribosomal RNA", at positions 35 to 154 of the family's 154-position model. The record is from RNAcentral.
GAUGAAGAACGCAGCGAAAUGCGACAAGUAAUGUGAAUUGCAGAAUUCAGUGAAUCAUCGAAUCUUUGAACGCACAUUGCGCCCCUUGGUAUUCCAUGGGGCAUGCCUGUUCGAGCGUCAUUUGUACCUUCAAGCCUUGCUUGGUGUUGGGUGUUUGUCUCGCCUCUGCGCGCAGACUCGCCUCAAAACAAUUGGCAGCCGGCGUAUUGAUUUCGGAGCGCAGUACAUCUCGCGCUUUGCACUCAGAACGACGACGUCCAAAAGUACAUUUUUACACUCUUGACCUCGGAUCAGGUAGGGAUACCCGCUGAACUUAAGCAUAUCAAUAAGCGGAGGA